AUGAACGCUAGCGGGAGGCCUAACACAUGCAAGCCGAGCGGUAGAGUAUCUUCGGAUACUUGAGAGCGGCGUACGGGUGCGGAACACGUGUGCAACCUGCCUUUAUCUGAGGGAUAGCCUUUCGAAAGGGAGAUUAAUACCUCAUAAUAUACUGAUUGGCAUCAAUUGGUAUUGAAAGCUCCGGCGGAUAGAGAUGGGCACGCGCAAGAUUAGAUAGUUGGUGAGGUAACGGCUCACCAAGUCAAUGAUCUUUAGGGGGCCUGAGAGGGUGAUCCCCCACACUGGUACUGAGACACGGACCAGACUCCUACGGGAGGCAGCAGUGAGGAAUAUUGGACAAUGGGUGCAAGCCUGAUCCAGCCAUCCCGCGUGAAGGACGACGGCCCUAUGGGUUGUAAACUUCUUUUGUACAGGGAUAAACCUACCCUCGUGAGGGUAGCUGAAGGUACUGUACGAAUAAGCACCGGCUAACUCCGUGCCAGCCGCCGCGGUAAU
This 495-nucleotide ribosomal RNA is filed under the name Riemerella anatipestifer. Its description in RNAcentral is "bacterial SSU rRNA". It matches the Rfam family "Bacterial small subunit ribosomal RNA", at positions 29 to 524 of the family's 1533-position model. Lineage: Bacteria; Pseudomonadati; Bacteroidota; Flavobacteriia; Flavobacteriales; Weeksellaceae. The record is from RNAcentral.